GAGAUCGGGAGAGAGUUCUUACCCGAUUUUCGCCAAAAUCUUAAUAAUGUACGCGGAGUUCGGAGGAGAGUUCUUAUUCGAAUCUCCCGCUUAAAACUCUAAAAACCAUAUCUAGAGAUCAGUAGAAACUUCUUAUCCGAGCUCUCUUAACAAAAUUCAAAUUAAAAUAACACAACUCCAAUACACAAUAUUAUUUUACUCGACACAUAUUCACUAAAGGCCCAUCUCACGAACUCGUGUUCUUGAGCAACCCC
This 254-nucleotide unclassified non-coding RNA is filed under the name Hevea brasiliensis (rubber tree). Lineage: Eukaryota; Viridiplantae; Streptophyta; Magnoliopsida; Malpighiales; Euphorbiaceae. The record is from RNAcentral.